This 253-nucleotide ribosomal RNA is filed under the name uncultured bacterium. RNAcentral's name for it is "partial 16S ribosomal RNA". It matches the Rfam family "Bacterial small subunit ribosomal RNA", at positions 524 to 776 of the family's 1533-position model. The record is from RNAcentral.
UACAGAGGUCUCAAGCGUUGUUCGGAUUCAUUGGGCGUAAAGGGUGCGUAGGUGGCGCCGUAAGUCGGGUGUGAAAUUUCGGAGCUUAACUCCGAAACUGCAUUCGAUACUGCGGUGCUUGAGGACUGGAGAGGAGACUGGAAUUCAUGGUGUAGCAGUGAAAUGCGUAGAGAUCAUGAGGAAGACCAGUGGCGAAGGCGGGUCUCUGGGCAGUAACUGACGCUGAGGAGCGAAAGCGUGGGGAGCGAACAGG